RNAcentral lists this ribosomal RNA (275 nucleotides) under Goniomonas pacifica. Its description in RNAcentral is "partial Bacterial large subunit ribosomal RNA". It matches the Rfam family "Bacterial large subunit ribosomal RNA", at positions 1233 to 1511 of the family's 2925-position model. Lineage: Eukaryota; Cryptophyceae; Goniomonadida; Goniomonadaceae. The record is from RNAcentral.
GGAGCAUUGUGUAAGCCUGUGAAGGUGUGUUGUAAAGCAUGCUGGAGGUAUCACAAGAGCGAAUGCUGACGUGAGUAACGACAAUGCGAGUGAAAAGCUCGCACGCCGGAAGACCAAGGGUUCCAGUCCAACGUUAAUCGGGGCUGGGUGAGUCGACCCCUAAGGCGAGGCCGAAAGGCGUAGUCGAUGGGAAAUCGGUUAAUAUUCCGAUACUUGUUUAUGAUGCGAUGGAGGGACGGAGAAGGUUAGGCAGGCCCGGCGUUGGUUGUCCGGGU